GAUGAACGCUGGCGGCGUGCCUAAUACAUGCAAGUCGAGCGAACAGACCAGGAGCUUGCUCCUCUGACGUUAUCGGCGGACGGGUGAGUAACACGUGGAUAACCUACCUCUAAGACUGGGGUAACUUCGCGAAACCGGAUCUAAUACCGGAUAAUAUAUUGACCCGCAUUGUUCACUAGUGAAAGACGGUUUUGCUUUGACUUAUAGAUGGAUCCGGCUCGCAUUCUCUAGUUGGUAAGGUAACGGGUUACCCACGCAACGAUGCGUAGCCGACCUGAGAGGGAGAUCGGACACACUGGAAGUGAGACACGGUCCAGACUCCGACGGGAGGCAGCAGUAGGGAAUCUUCCGCAAGGGGCGAAAGCCUGACGGAGCAACGCCGCGUGAGUGAUGAAGGUCUUCGGAUCGUAAAACUCUGUUAUUAGGGAAGAACAAAUGUGUAAGUAACUAUGAACGUCUUGACGGUACCUAAACAGAAAGCCACGGCUAACUACGUG
Molecule: ribosomal RNA, 497 nt
Filed under: uncultured bacterium
Lineage: Bacteria
Description: partial 16S ribosomal RNA
Rfam family: Bacterial small subunit ribosomal RNA
Source: RNAcentral